Long non-coding RNA from Seriola aureovittata, 245 nucleotides. RefSeq lists it as uncharacterized. The record is from RefSeq and is a predicted model, not a curated record. The transcript has 2 exons. NCBI's taxonomy places the organism in Eukaryota, Metazoa, Chordata, Actinopteri, Carangiformes, Carangidae.
UCGAUUACUCUGGGUGCGUGACGGUGAUCGGCGGCGGAUACGCGCGGCGCAUCGGGAGCGAGCGCAUGCGAGCCUGAAGACGGCAGAAAGUGCAGAGUGGAGAGAGAGAACGGAGGCUGCCAGUCAGACACUAAUUGAUUUCAUCGUUAUUGUGUGCCUGCGUCCGUGAGACCUAACCAUUCACACAAAGCUGUGCCCAUGUUCUGUACUGUUGCCUGAACCUAUUAAACAGUCAAAUCAAAGAA